RNAcentral lists this ribosomal RNA (165 nucleotides) under uncultured Bacillus sp. RNAcentral's name for it is "partial 16S ribosomal RNA". It matches the Rfam family "Bacterial small subunit ribosomal RNA", at positions 336 to 492 of the family's 1533-position model. The record is from RNAcentral. Lineage: Bacteria; Bacillati; Bacillota; Bacilli; Caryophanales; Bacillaceae.
CUCCUACGGGAGGCAGCAGUAGGGAAUUUUUCGCCAAGGGCGCAAGUCUGGAGGAGCAAAGCCGCGUGAGUGAUGAAGGCCUUCGGGUCGKAAAACUCUGKUGUUAGGGAAGAACAGGUAUCGGAGUAAUANGCCGGUACUUUGACGGUNCCUGACCAGAAGGCC